AGCCAACAAAGGGCCGUUCGCCUUUCAUGGCCUCCACAGCAGCGUUGCCGUGGCUGUCACAAAUUCUCUGCACCCCAGGAGUGCCGCUUGGACCCCCGGGCUCGCUGCGUGGUCCAUAUCUAGGUCGGGCCUCUCACGGAGACUUUCCCACCAGUGUAAUAAAGAGGAGAAAACGUCACAGCGGAAGGGCCUGACCCUGCUGCAUCCACUAAGGAAACAGCUACGGGGAUGGGACCCUGGAAGCUGCUGUGGGAGCCUCAUCCACCGCUUCUCUGACCCCACCCAGGCUGCUUCCCAGGCCUCAGGGUCUUAGUGUGGACCUCCGGGCCGUGAUUAAUGCAGGUCAGCAGGACCAGAGCGCCC
Molecule: long non-coding RNA, 363 nt
Filed under: Homo sapiens (human)
Lineage: Eukaryota; Metazoa; Chordata; Mammalia; Primates; Hominidae
Description: HSALNT0230015
Source: RNAcentral